RNAcentral lists this ribosomal RNA (253 nucleotides) under uncultured bacterium. RNAcentral describes it as "partial 16S ribosomal RNA". It matches the Rfam family "Bacterial small subunit ribosomal RNA", at positions 524 to 776 of the family's 1533-position model. The record is from RNAcentral.
UACGUAGGGGGCAGGCGUUAUCCGGAAUUACUGGGUGUAAAGGGAGCGUAGACGGUAAUGUAAGUCUGGAGUGAAAGGCGGGGGCCCAACCCCCGGACUGCUCUGGAAACUAUGUUACUAGAGUGCAGGAGAGGUAAGCGGAAUUCCUAGUGUAGCGGUGAAAUGCGUAGAUAUUAGGAGGAACACCAGUGGCGAAGGCGGCUUACUGGACUGUAACUGACGUUGAGGCUCGAAAGCGUGGGGAGCAAACAGG